This 253-nucleotide ribosomal RNA is filed under the name uncultured bacterium. RNAcentral's name for it is "partial 16S ribosomal RNA". It matches the Rfam family "Bacterial small subunit ribosomal RNA", at positions 524 to 776 of the family's 1533-position model. The record is from RNAcentral.
UACGUAGGGUGCAGGCGUUACUCGGAAUCAUUGGGCGUAAAGCGCGCGUAGGUGGCCCCGUAAGUCCGCUGUGAAAGUCAAAGGCUCAACCUUUGAAAGCCGGUGGAUACUGUGGGACUAGAGUACGGAAGAGGCGAGUGGAAUUCCUGGUGUAGCGGUGGAAUGCGCAGAUAUCAGGAGGAACACCAAUAGCGAAGGCAGCUCGCUGGGACGUUACUGACACUGAGGCGCGAAAGCGUGGGGAGCGAACAGG